CAGUAGCCGCGGUAAUACGUAGGCGGCAAGCGUUGUCCGGAAUUAUUGGGCGUAAAGGGCUCGCAGGCGGUUUCUUAAGUCUGAUGUGAAAGCCCCCGGCUCAACCGGGGAGGGUCAUUGGAAACUGGGAAACUUGAGUGCAGAAGAGGAGAGUGGAAUUCCACGUGUAGCGGUGAAAUGCGUAGAGAUGUGGAGGAACACCAGUGGCGAAGGCGACUCUCUGGUCUGUAACUGACGCUGAGGAGCGAAAGCGUGGGGAGCGAACAGGAUUAGAGACCCGCGUAGUCCCUGUCUCUUAUAC
RNAcentral lists this ribosomal RNA (301 nucleotides) under uncultured bacterium. Its description in RNAcentral is "partial 16S ribosomal RNA". It matches the Rfam family "Bacterial small subunit ribosomal RNA", at positions 509 to 807 of the family's 1533-position model. The record is from RNAcentral.